CCUACGGGUGGCAGCAGUGAGGAAUAUUGGUCAAUGGGCGUACGCCUGAACCAGCCAAGUCGCGUGAGGGAAGACUGCCCUAUGGGUUGUAAACCUCUUUUGUCAGGGAGCAACGCCGGCUACGUGUAGCCUGACUGAUAGUACCUGCAGACAAAGCAUCGGCUAACUCCGUGCCAGCGCCCGGGGUAAUACGGAGGAUGCGAGCGUUCUCCGAAUUGAUUGGGUUUAGGGGGUGCGUAGGCGGAAUGCCAAGUCAGCGGGAAAAUCGCGGGGCUCAACCUGGCUCGGCAGUUGAAACUGGCGUGAUUGAGUGGGCGAGAGGUGGGCGGAAUGCGUGGUGUAGCGGUGAAAUGCAUAGAGAUCACGCAGAACUCCGAUGGCGAAGGCAGCAUACUGGAGCACGACUGACGCUGAAGCACGAAAGCGUGGGUAUCGAACAGGAUUAGAUACCCUGGUAGUC
This 460-nucleotide ribosomal RNA is filed under the name uncultured bacterium. RNAcentral describes it as "partial 16S ribosomal RNA". It matches the Rfam family "Bacterial small subunit ribosomal RNA", at positions 338 to 795 of the family's 1533-position model. The record is from RNAcentral.